RNAcentral lists this ribosomal RNA (952 nucleotides) under uncultured bacterium. Its description in RNAcentral is "bacterial SSU rRNA". It matches the Rfam family "Bacterial small subunit ribosomal RNA", at positions 8 to 964 of the family's 1533-position model. The record is from RNAcentral.
AGAGUUUGAUCCUGGCUCAGAACGAACGUUGGCGGCGUGGAUUAGGCAUGCAAGUCGAACGAAUCCCACUGCUGUAGCAAUACAGUGGUGGGGGAAGUGGCGAAAGGGGCAGUAAGGCGUGGGUAACCUACCCCGGGGACCGGGAUAGCCUUUCUAACGAGAGGGUAAUACCGGGCGAUCUGGCUCAGGGGCAUCUCUGGGCCAGGAGAUGAAUUUCGCCUCGGGAGGGGCUCACGUGGUAUUAGCUAGACGGCGGGGUAACGGCCCACCGUGGCAAAGAUGCCUAGCGGGUGUGAGAGCACGACCCGCGCCACUGGCACUGAGACACUGGCCAGACUCCUACGGGAGGCUGCAGUCGAGGAUCUUCGGCAAUGGGCGCAAGCCUGACCGAGCGACGCCGCGUGCGCGAUGAAGGCCUUCGGGUUGUAAAGCGCUGUCGAGGGGGAGGAAAGCCGAAAGGUCUGACCUAUCCCUGGAGGAAGCACGGGCUAAGUUCGUGCCAGCAGCCGCGGUAAGACGAACCGUGCGAACGUUGUUCGGAAUCACUGGGCUUAAAGGGCGCGUAGGCGGACCUCCCAGUCCGGGGUGAAAGCUUUCGGCUUAACCGGAAAAGUGCCUUGGAUACUGGAGGUCUUGAGGGAGGUAGGGGCAGCCGGAACUUCCGGUGGAGCGGUGAAAUGCGUUGGUAUCGGAAGGAACGCCGGUGGCGAAAGCGGGCUGCUGGAUCUCUACUGACGCUGAGGCGCGAAAGCCAGGGGAGCGAACGGGAUUAGAUACCCCGGUAGUCCUGGCCCUAAACGAUGGGUACUGGGUAGGGGACUUGACAUGGGUUCCCUGCCGCAGCAAAAGUGGUAAGUACCCCGCCUGGGGAGUAUGGUCGCAAGGCUGAACUCAAGGAUUGACGGGGCUCACACAAGCGGUGGAGCAUGUGGCUUAAUUCGAGGCUACGCGG